Molecule: ribosomal RNA, 301 nt
Filed under: uncultured bacterium
Lineage: Bacteria
Description: partial 16S ribosomal RNA
Rfam family: Bacterial small subunit ribosomal RNA
Source: RNAcentral
CAGUCGCCGCGGGAAUACAGAGGGUGCGAGCGUUAAUCGGAAUUACUGGGCGUAAAGCGUGCGUAGGCGGUUUGUUAAGUCUGCUGUGAAAUCCCCGGGCUCAACCUGGGAAUGGCAGUGGAUACUGGCAAGCUAGAGUGUGUCAGAGGAUGGUGGAAUUCCCGGUGUAGCGGUGAAAUGCGUAGAGAUCGGGAGGAACAUCAGUGGCGAAGGCGGCCAUCUGGGACAACACUGACGCUGAGGCACGAAAGCGUGGGGAGCAAACAGGAUUAGAUACCCCAGUAGUCCCUGUCUCUUAUAC